AACGAACGCUGGCGGCAUGCCUAACACAUGCAAGUCGAACGAGACCUUCGGGUCUUGUGGCGCACGGGUUCGUCACGCGUGGGAACCUUCCCUUAGGUUCGGAAUAACUCCCCGACAGGGGUGCUAAUACCGGAUCAUGUCUUCUGACCAAAGAUUUAUCGCCUUUGGAUGUUCCCGCGUUGGAUUAGCUAGUUGGUAGGGUAAAAGCCUACCAAGGCGACGAUCCAUAGCUGGUCUGAGAGGAUGAUCAGCCACACUGGGACUGAGACACGGCCCAGACUCCUACGGGAGGCAGGAGUGGGGAAUAGUGGAAAAUGGGGGAAAGGCUGAUGGAGCAAUGACGGGAGAGUGAUGAAGGUAGUAGGGUUGUAAAGCUCUUUUAACCGGGAUGAUAAUGACAGUACCGGGAGAAUAAGCUCCGGCUAACUACGUG
This 433-nucleotide ribosomal RNA is filed under the name uncultured bacterium. RNAcentral's name for it is "partial 16S ribosomal RNA". It matches the Rfam family "Bacterial small subunit ribosomal RNA", at positions 29 to 507 of the family's 1533-position model. The record is from RNAcentral.